This 468-nucleotide ribosomal RNA is filed under the name uncultured bacterium. RNAcentral describes it as "partial 16S ribosomal RNA". It matches the Rfam family "Bacterial small subunit ribosomal RNA", at positions 28 to 507 of the family's 1533-position model. The record is from RNAcentral.
GACGAACGCUGGCGGCGUGCUUAACACAUGCAAGUCGAACGGACAGGCCCGGCUUUUGUUGCGUGCUCGAGUGGCGAACGGGUGUGUAACACGUGAGUAACCUGCCCUUGACUUUGGGAUAACUUCAGGAAACUGGGGCUAAUACCGGCUAUGAGCUCCUGCUGCAUGGUGGGGGUUGGAAAGUUUCGGCGGUUGGGGCUGGACUCGCGGCUUAUCAGCUUGUUGGUGGGGUAGUGGCUUACCAAGGCUUUGACGGGUAGCCGGCCUGAGAGGGUGACCGGCCACAUUGGGACUGCGAUACGGCCCAGACUCCUACGGGAGGCAGCAGGGGGGAAUAUUGCACAAUGGGCGGAAGCCUGAUGCAGCAACGCUGCGUGCGGGAUGACGGCCUUCGGGUUGUAAACCGCUUUCGCAGGUGACGAAGCGUGAGUGACGGUAAUGGGUAAAGAAGCCCCGGCUAACUACGUG